UACAGAGGGUGCGAGCGUUAAUCGGAAUUACUGGGCGUAAAGCGUGCGCAGGCGGUUGUGCAAGACAGACGUGAAAUCCCCAGGCUCAACCUGGGAACUGCGUCUGAUACUGGAUGGCUUGAAUCCGGGAGAGGGAUGCAGAAUUCCAGGUGUAGCGGUGAAAUGCGUAGAUAUCUGGAGGAAUACCGGUGGCGAAGGCGGCAUCCUGGACCGGCAUUGACGCUGAGGAGCGAAAGCCAGGGGAGCAAACGGG
This 253-nucleotide ribosomal RNA is filed under the name uncultured bacterium. RNAcentral's name for it is "partial 16S ribosomal RNA". It matches the Rfam family "Bacterial small subunit ribosomal RNA", at positions 524 to 776 of the family's 1533-position model. The record is from RNAcentral.